Molecule: long non-coding RNA, 6260 nt
Organism: Passer domesticus (house sparrow)
Lineage: Eukaryota; Metazoa; Chordata; Aves; Passeriformes; Passeridae
Exons: 2
Source: RefSeq, a predicted model, not a curated record
UUUUGUGCAAGCAGGAGGCUGCCCCUGGAGAUGCUGUGCGUGUGCAGGCCCCGGCGGCAGCGGGAGCAGGCCCGAGCAGCCGGGGCAGCGAGCGGGGAAGGCCCCGAGCCAAAGGCAGCGCCGGGCCCUGCUCAGAGCCGGGGACACGGAGCCAGCACAGCCCCAGCCUGGUGGGACGGAGCCGGGGGAGCCCAGCCAGAGCCACGACACCUAGUAACAAAUAAAUAGCAAACAAAGAUGUGCCGGGGAACAACAAUCAGCUUUAAAAGUUAACAGGAGAAACCUGGAAAGUGUAAAACGUAUUUGCGUUGCUAGGCAAAGGCACUGAAACUAAUUCUAGAGUAAUGCUGUGUCAAGUAGAGUUUUGCACAGACGAAUUCAAAGACCAGAAAACAAGGAAGAUUAAUUGUUAUUUAAAUUUCCAGACUUGGAUCACUCCCAUAAGCUUGACAAUGAAAAAUUAAUAAUACGGAUUCAUGAAGUUUGCAAUAAAAAGAAAGAGGCCAAUGUUAUGUUCUUAACAGGCAUUAGCUAAGGGGCAUGGAAAGGUUUAAACUGUUACCAUUCAGAGCAGUGAUGAUGAGUGAAAAGUGACACAGGAAACUUGGGGACUGUUUUUAAUCACUCUUGCAUAGCUGUUAAAGGCACAAUAAAAUAGCAACACGACAUUAUAAAUAGAGCAUGUAAAAGAGCCUUCUGUGACAGGGAGAACUGUGACAGACGCCCUUAUUAGACAGGUUGGCUUAAGCAUUCACUCUGUCACCCUCCCCAGCUGCUCCAAUGCUCUGCCCCAUCUCAAAGCGAACUCAGCUUGCUCAGCUUUGCUUGGCACAUCUUUAGGUUAAUAUUAAAAGGGUGAUUUAUCAGACAGUUAGUUUAAAAAGCAAAGCAAGCACCAGCACAAAUGUGUUAAGACUUUUUCACAGGAAGGAUGUCAGCUUUGUUGUAAAAGUCUCAUAUGAUGUGAAGUACAAUUUAAACAGUCUGGGAAGCUUGGAAGUAGAUUUGUAGAGAAGAGACCAUCUUCCCAUGAAGACACUGGGAGAGGCUGGAGCUUCCUGGAGAGUUCUGGUUGUGUCAGAACUGAAUUUUGCACAUCUGUCUGCAAACCACUCCAAAAAAGGCAUUUCACAACAUUGUCUUUGCCUUGGUUUUCAAAGAAUCGUAGCACCAAUAAUUCCCACCAAAGUCACCAGGAGCAUGCAACCAGUGAAAGGAAUCUGAACGUUUAUGUAAUUUAUGAAGAAUAAAUUAUCAUCAAUCCAUUUAGUCUUGAAAUGUGGCCUGCAACCAUAUUAAAUUCUAGAUGUUAUUCAUAAUUUACAGCAAGAGUCUCAGCACAGAACCUGAAAGCUCAAAAAAAAAAAAAAAAAAAAGACAAAUUUUUCUGGUUUUUAUAAUUCACUUUGGGUUCUUAUUUCCCUGCCAGAUAUGAACUGUAAUAUUGAACAUAAAAAACAACUAUCAUUCAGAGUGAGCACUGAAGAUUACAAAUUUGUUUCCAGCUGUUAUUUCCUUUAGUUAUUACAUCACAGACGUGCACACAUUUAUUUUGAUAAAAAUUUUAUGUAUUUAAGGCCACAGUUAAAGAAAAUGGGGUCUGCUUCUAAUGAGUUGUUAGCAUUACCUGCUCUUCAUAAUCCUACAACAAUGUAUAGCAUUAAGCCCAUAAAAAAGAAUACUGGUGUUCAUGUUAUUUAGAUUCCUUAUUCUUCCUUCCUUUCCCCAAAUGUGUACUGUGUUCACCUAAUCUCACUUGUCAUUCUCAGAAAUGUUUAAAAUAAUGAAAAGAAACUCCUUAAAGAGAAAGAUGAUUUCCCUUAAGGCUAGGCAUAACUGAAGUAAUCCAAGGAAAUAAUAUCUAUAGUGCUCAAAGAUGAAGGCUCUUUCACAAGACCUACAGUUUUGGACAUUUUCAUUUACAUUCUUCUUCCAAUGUGAGGAAGAAUAUCAAUGAUUAAGAACAAUGAAUUUUUGGUAGAUUACCCAACAGAGUUUAAAAAAACCCCACCAAACCAACAAAUAAUAAAAAGCUCACUAAAACCUUGAAAAGGAAAUCAAACAGCAAUUAAAUAAAUAUGAUUACAUUUAAGUGUGCACUUAAUACAUGUAGGAAAUCCUCCCAGUUUCGUAAACAAAUGAGAGUGCAAGAAGAAGUUCACAUAUAAGUCAACCACCCUGCACUUCUGCAAACAGACAUGCCCCACCUCACCAGGAGGCAGCUGUGUGCACAGUAGACCAAACCUUUCAUGUGUCAUCUCCUAAGAUUAAAAAGGAACACACAGCAGUAUCUUACUUUUCUUAUUAACUUUACUUUUUCAAGCUGUACAUUUUUGUUCUGUUGCAAACUACUCCAUUCUCAUGGCUUAGAGGAGCUGCAGACAAGUCAUAAAAUUAUGCUACUACUUCCCUACCUUUUCCAUUUUAUUCUAUUAAACUGUUUUUAAAGGAAAUAUAUUUGAAAGUCUUUUUUCCUCAACAAAUAUCUCCUUAUAUAAAGAUUGUCUGUGAAAUAAUUAAGAUUGCUCAGUGCUAACCUAGAAAAGGAUUGCACAACACUGACAAAUAACCCCCUAGACAUAAGGACAUGACAAAUGACAGGAUGUCAAAAGCAAAAGGAAGGAGACACCUGCAAAUUAAUUCUGUCAUCUGCUCCCUGCUCACCCACUCACAUCACGUGGGGCUGAAGAAUGAGAGACCUCACCUCAGCAGGGUGGAGAAAGGAUCAGAACAAAGCAGCAGCUGAUCAUAACAGUUACAAUUGAAAAUUGAAAAGGAAAAGCACAGGGAAAAUUGAAAAACUGAAUUUAAAUACAGAGAUGACGAAAGAGAGGAGAUAAAACACCCCAGGCAAUUGAAGAGGGAAGACCGCAUUAGAAGAAAAGCAGGGGUUAGUCCUGCAGCAGACUUACACCUGAGGGACCCUCUGUGCCAGGGCACAGUGAGGGGACUGAGGGGUGGCACUGCUGCUUCUGAGCCUGCAGAGCCAUUCCCCAGUUGUGGAAGAGGAAGAAGGCAGGUACAGGCAUGAGUGAUAUCCACCACCCUUGCUGAACUCCACUGGAAGGCUGCCAAAAAGGGAACACAAUUGAGGAUUAAUUAAACUAUGAGCAAACUACCAUUGCUGAGAAAAUCCUUCCCUCCUACCUGUGCCUGAGAAACUGGAAGAGGAAAGGAAGACUGAAGUGCAGGAGCACCCAUCACCCUGAGGAUGGCUUUGUGACUCUGGAGGAUCCCCUGGGACAUUUGCUGCUCCCUUCAUGCAGACAAACCACACUGCUCCUGCUACAUUGCAGGUUAAACCAUCCAAAAAUGGAGCAACCAGCAGGGAAAUUGUCUGUAUUUCUAGUAGGCUUUUUCCCAUUAGUGUUAGAGCAGGUCCUCACAUCAGGAUACAGAUGCCUGGCUGAAAAGGUGCAAAAUUUUCCUGACAGCAUGCCUUUAAGGAAAUAUUUGUGUGGAGAAGGGCUACAUUUGUGGGAAUCUACCUCAGGGUAUCCUUAUCAAUGCACAUUUGCUUUCCCUCCUUGGGAGCAGGUACCACUAUCAGUGUAAAAUGAUAGCUUAAUUGUUGGAGUACUUACAUGGUUUUAAUGAGUAGCUGCUUAAAUGGUCCAGCAAUUCCACACACAAAUAUUUGACCCCAGGGCUACAGUAAUUUAUGGACCUCCCAAUUACAGAGAGAACUCUUUUGUCUUUUGCUUUGCACUUGGACUGUUCCUUUUAUUACUUAUUCCGUAUCCUUUCCCACUGUUCCCCUGUGGAGCUUCAGGUGAUUGUGCGAAAUGACAGAAGGACAUGUACAUUACCCACACAUAUGAGGGAAAAGGGUCUGUUUAUCUACAAACCUGGCAAACAAAAUACAGGAAUUGUGGAGAAGUUUAUGUGGAAAAGUUCCAGGUAAUUUUUUUCCCCUAGAACAAUGCAAAAAAAAGAUGUGAGCUAAAAAAAAUGGGGUCCAGAGCUAGAGGUUCAAUGUAAUAUAUGGAUUUGCCCAUAGCUAAAUGUUGGAAUCCUGACCUUUUAGGUGUCAAUAACUGCGGUAAAUGUUUAUGAGAGGGAAAAAUGGAAAUUCUCAUCUAAUUCAAGUCAUGCCAGAAACAGAUUUUCAUUGUCUACAGUGAUAUAGAAACUGUAUCAAGCACAGCCUGAUCGUAUUAAAAUUUUUAAUUACAAAGUCCUAUGCAACUAUGAACAAAGUCUUUGGUUGUUUCUUAAUGAAGUCCAACUUAAGACACACAUUCCAGUACUUAAAAAUUCUUGCUGUUUAUGGUAAGGGAUUCAUUAAAGUACUUUCAAAAUAUAAAUUAUGUAUCUUUCAUAUAAUAUUUGCAAAAUCUGUUUUAAAUGUGUGCUUCUCAGAGCUGAUAAAACUACAACAGAAUUAGAAAAGAGGAAAGCCAAAAGUAAUCUCUGUCUAAUGAAUAACAACAUUUUCAACUAUUUGGAUGAGCUAAAAAUACACAGCUUGGAUGAGGAAAGACAGCUUUGACCUAAAAAUAGCAAAGCCAAAAAAUAUUUAAGACAAAACAAAAAAAAACAAAACCAAAACCUAAAUAAUUCUUAAGAUUUUUUGCAGAGCUUUAAUAUUUAUAACCUCUUUUCCCAAGCAGAGCUUCAAAACACAAAGAGAACGUGAAAUUGAUAACAAAGGAAAGACGCCAAGAAUGUACAAAAUAGAAAGAAUUUUUGCAUUCCUUCUGUGAACAUGGAAGUCCUCCCUCUGAAGCAAUUUAUCUUGGCUGAUGAGGGAUUGGUGGGUGUGCCCAAGACAAAACUCAUCAGACAAAGGCAUGUUUGUUUGCUUUUCAUUUAUCUUGAAGUCAAAAGCACAAUAUGUGUCAGUGCCAAUGUGGGCCUUUCCAGAUCUUCACUCUGCAGUGGGAUAUGAGAUGAAGAGAAAUUUUCUUCCAAAGGGAGGACAGGUCUGCAACUAACUCCAUGGUUAUCAUAAAUUUGUAUAAUAAGUAGCCUUUGGAAUGGCUGUACAAGCAUAGUGAAAAGCAUUCUAAACAGAUAAGACAAAUAAAGCCUGAAAGCAGCAUCAAAGACAGAGGUGACACAGUCUGUUCCACCUCCUACAGUAGAAUAAUGGCCCACUCAUUGCUACAACUGUUGGACUAUAGGGCCUUGCUCCCUGCAGUGACGUUCUACCCCAAAGAAAUGCAGAUCCUUAAAUUAGCAUAAAUUAGUCACUCAGAACCCACUCCAGCUAAAAACUCAGGCCUAACUGGAAGACAAACUUUCUUGUUUUAUGUUUUUGAUUCCAGUCUUGAAAAAUCUGUCUUUGAAGAAUAGCCCAUGGAGAUUUUAUUUACUUCCAAAGACAUUGAAGAAAGAAGAUAUCCACUGCACUUGCAUAAUUCCUGGUCAAGACCUAGGGCUGGCUUUAGGCUGUAUGAGCUUUAGAGGACUCUCAGCCUCCCUGUUGCAGUGUGCCAAAUCCUACCAAAGCCUGAAUUUUACCCCUGCUGUCCUUAAUCCUGGACAGAAUUGUAUUGCAGUUUUUCAAUCCCUCAAACUCUGUGGCAAUAAAUGGCAUUUGAUAUUUUAUCCACGGCCUAUUUAUCACAGGAAGAACCCAUGAAGAAGGGUGAGGUCGAUGCCUUCCAGAAGCAAGGUAGAGAGAAAAGCUUCUGCCUAAAAAAGAUCUACAAGGAAUUUAUCAUGAGUUUCAGAAGAAAAAACAAUAUAUUUGGUUUUGUUACAAUCCCUUCCUGCAUUCAACCAGUUCUAUCUCACAUGCCUGUUACUGAAAUAGUGAAAGACCACUAAAAUGCCCAAGACCACUACAAGAAGCAUUUGUGUUUUCAGAGGUAAGUCAGCAACAGAACAUUACAUAGGAAAUGUGGACUCUCUUACAAUUUCUGGCAUUUAUCUUUAAAGCAGACAGUGACUGCAUGGCACAAAAUAAAUGCAAUUAAAUAGCAAAACCCAGCAACAAUGGGUUAGAAGGAACUUUUGAACUGACUGCAGGGCAGCAAGUUAUCUUUUUCUACAGGUUUUACUCCUGAAGUACAGAAACCUUGGAAAAAUUAUAUCUUUUCAUAAGAUUAAUAUAAAAUGCAAAACAUUCAUAAAUAUGGUUUUAAGCUACUUCAAAUAUAAUGCUGUAAAUCUUAUUACAGACUUCAGAUGUAAUUGUUCUGCUGUUUGUCUCAUAACGCUGUGCCUCUUAACUUUAUAUGGUUACAAAGGGGAUUAAUUUUGCUUUAGUCCUUUGUUUUCUUUUGCUAAUAAAGACCAGACUUGUUUAUUCA